GAUGAAGAACGUAGCGAAAUGCGAUACGUAAUGUGAAUUGCAGAAUUCAGUGAAUCAUCGAAUCUUUGAACGCAUAUUGCGCUCUCUGGUAUUCCGGAGAGCAUGCUUGUUUGAGUAUCAGUAAACACCUCAACUUCCAUAUCUUUUUUUGAAAUGGGAGUUGGACUUGAGUGAUCCCAACGCUUUUCCUCACCGAAAAGUGGCGGGUUACUUGAAAUGCAGGUGCAGCUGGACUUUUCUCUGAGCUAUAAGCAUAUCUAUUUAGUCUGCCUAAAAAACAGAUUAUUACCUUUGCUGCAGCUAACAUAAAGGAGAUUAGUUCUUGUGCUGACUGAUGCAGGAUUCACAAAGACAGCUUCGGCCGACUUUGUAAACUCGAUCUCAAAUCAAGUAAGACUACCCGCUGAACUUAAGCAUAUCAAUAAGCGGAGGC
This 433-nucleotide unclassified non-coding RNA is filed under the name soil metagenome. RNAcentral's name for it is "partial contains 5.8S ribosomal RNA, internal transcribed spacer 2, and large subunit ribosomal RNA". The stretch from base 1 to 120 matches the Rfam family "5.8S ribosomal RNA", at positions 35 to 154 of the family's 154-position model. The record is from RNAcentral.